GCCACCCCUAGCCCGACGGGGCAAAAAGCGGAAACCUUCACCGCCUGGGGUGGCGUCUUAAUGAAGG
RNAcentral lists this small RNA (67 nucleotides) under Nitrosospira briensis. Its description in RNAcentral is "int-alpA RNA". It matches the Rfam family "int-alpA RNA". From Rfam's summary of the family: Acidobacteria (1 example), Planctomycetes (1 example), Proteobacteria. Environment (Lake Washington) The record is from Rfam by way of RNAcentral. Lineage: Bacteria; Pseudomonadati; Pseudomonadota; Betaproteobacteria; Nitrosomonadales; Nitrosomonadaceae.